Molecule: ribosomal RNA, 515 nt
Filed under: uncultured bacterium
Lineage: Bacteria
Description: bacterial SSU rRNA
Rfam family: Bacterial small subunit ribosomal RNA
Source: RNAcentral
UAGUCCACGCCGUAAACGAUGAUAACUAGCUGUCCGAACCCACAGGGUUUGGGUGGCGCAGCUAACGCAUUAAGUUAUCCGCCUGGGGAGUACGGUCGCAAGAUUAAAACUCAAAGGAAUUGACGGGGGCUCGCACAAGUGGUGGAGCAUGCGGUUUAAUUCGAUGCUACGCGAAAAACCUUACCAACCCUUGACAUGGUGGUCGCGAGAGACAGAGAUGACUCUCUUCAGUUCGGCUGGACCACACACAGGUGUUGCAUGGCUGUCGUCAGCUCGUGUCGUGAGAUGUUGGGUUAAGUCCCGCAACGAGCGAAACCCUUAUCCUUAUUUGCCAGCGGUUCGGCCGGGGACUAUAAGGAAACUGCCGGUGAUAAACCGGAGGAAGGUGGGGACGAUGUCAAGUCAUCAUGGCCCUUAUGGGUUGGGCUACACGCGUGCUACAAUGGUGUCUACAGAGGGAAGCAAUACGGCAACGUGGAGCAAAUCCUUGAAAAGGCAUCUCAGUUCGGAUUGGU